CCGAGGUUGGCCCUUCAGUGAUGGAAGUGACAGCAGCUGUCAGGACAAUACAAGCACCCAGGUUUGGAAACAAUUUCAGUUUGAUGUUGGAUGCUGUGAGAAGCCAAAAGCUUCAUGCACAAGGGAAAGCUUUGCCAUCAUUAGGAAAUGGAGAAUAACUUUGUUGCUCCAGCAGCAUACCAGGAGAAGAAGAUGAAUAUGGGAAUCACAGUUACUCUGCUUGCCUCUUCCUGUCCUGCAGAUCAGCUAAAUCCYGCAUGUGCUGCCCCAGGAGAGCCCCCACAAAAACCAGAAGCCUGUGUCACUGUCAGUGGCUGCAUURUGCCCUGCUGUCAUUUUCUUUCUGGAGUCUAGUUUUUCAAUAUUUCAUAGUAUCAAACAAUAAAACCACAAACAAUGUGGCCUUGCAAGGGUUUAGCUUACAGCUGUGGGAUUAAACCUGCUGCUGGAGAGAUACUUCUAG
Malurus melanocephalus (red-backed fairy wren) is the source of this 463-nucleotide long non-coding RNA. RefSeq lists it as uncharacterized. NCBI's taxonomy places the organism in Eukaryota, Metazoa, Chordata, Aves, Passeriformes, Maluridae. The transcript has 3 exons. The record is from RefSeq and is a predicted model, not a curated record.